RNAcentral lists this transfer RNA (82 nucleotides) under Geodia barretti. It matches the Rfam family "tRNA". From Rfam's summary of the family: Transfer RNA (tRNA) molecules are approximately 80 nucleotides in length. Their secondary structure includes four short double-helical elements and three loops (D, anti-codon, and T loops). RNAcentral also lists the same sequence under 1 other name. The record is from Rfam by way of RNAcentral. Lineage: Eukaryota; Metazoa; Porifera; Demospongiae; Tetractinellida; Geodiidae.
GGGGGUAUGCUAGAGCGGUCAAAUAGGGCAGACUGUAAAUCUGUUGGCUAUGCCUACGGUGGUUCGAAUCCAUCUGCCCCCA